UAGAGAAGUCAAUGUUCAUGCCAUCAGGUUGGAGGCUACCCAGCCGGUAUAUAACCUGAGUGUGGCUUCAUCUUGACAGUAGAGGAGGCCAUGGAUAGACAUACCAGAAUGGGAAUGGGACGUGGAAUUAAAAUGUGUGGCCACUGGGAGAUCCUGCUUUCUCUGGUGGACCGAGCGUAGGUGUUCAGCGAAACGGUCUCCUAGUCUGCAUCGGGUCUCACCAAUAUAUAAAAGGCCGCACCGGGCGCAGUAUACCACACCAGCUGACUCACAUGUGUUUCUGCAGAUACUGGAAAUCUGGAGCAACACACACAAAAUGCAGGAGGAUGUUGGGACCAUGUUAUAUCCUCAGAGAUCUUGACACCCAGAAACUUGAAGCUGCUCACUCUCUCCACUUCUGAUCGCUCAAUAAGGAUUGAUGCUGGCAAUCCAAGCAAUACGUGUGAAACACUGGAGGAACUCAGCAGGUCAAGCAGCAUCUGUAGAGAAGAGGAUUUCAAACUGUCAAAGGUCAGUCAUGUCUCCGCUUGACUGUUUGGAAAAUUAACAUACUAUUGAUUUCCAUACAAUUGCUAGCGAUGAACCUGCCAUUCCGGGUGGACUUUGAUCAUGUUCAAUGGAGAAAUUGUGAAAGGAUCCUACAGGACAGCUGAGUUAUCAACUGAUCCAUCAACCGCCUCCAGGGCUGCUGCUUGAAUCUCUGAGUUUCCAGCAUUCUUUGUUUUAAUUGGCCGGCUGGUGGCAUAGCAGCAUCAGUGCCAGACUUUGGAGAGAAGGUUCCUGAGUUUGAAUCCAGCCAGCUCCCCUGCACGCUUUCCAUCCGUGUGGGGUUGAGUGUCAAGCUAGCAACUCGGCCUCAUAUAAACAAGAUGCCUGCUAAAAAAAAACGCCGUUACGACAGCGUCCUGAUAACUCCACUUGGAGUUAAGGGCUUUCUUCUUCUUCUUCUUCAUUUUAAUUUCAGUCCAUUGAAUAUUACUUCACAGGAAGAUUAACAGGCAGACCUUCUCACUUACUGAUUCUACGAAACACAACGAUCACACAGCAGUCAUGGUUAUCCUGAACCUUUUAGAUAAAGCAUCUGACUUUGGUCCCACUGAACAAAUCAUGCAAGGUUAUCACACCAGACCUCACUCAGCCUAAUGAGAACAGAAAGAUCUGGACCUAUUCAAGAAUCAAUACCUGUUUAAUGAUUAUCCUUCAUGACCCUGUCAACAGCCUCCAAUUCCUCUAUACACCCAGAUAUCCAAUCGCAAACAAGAGAAAAUCUGCAGAUGCUGGACAUCCGA
Hypanus sabinus (Atlantic stingray) is the source of this 1289-nucleotide long non-coding RNA. RefSeq lists it as uncharacterized. The transcript is spliced from 3 exons. NCBI's taxonomy places the organism in Eukaryota, Metazoa, Chordata, Chondrichthyes, Myliobatiformes, Dasyatidae. The record is from RefSeq and is a predicted model, not a curated record.